GUAUUGAUUGCGUGUGACCGCAAAAAUAACAUUCUACACUGUAUCAAGUUUUGUGUGAAAACGUGAGCCCUCCUGCAAAGGGGACCCACGCGGUGAUGCACAAAGGGUGAGAUGGAUUGUGUGAGAGGGCUCGGGCGUGCACGACCGGGGAAGGUCAGCGACAGCCCUCGCGCCUCGGUUUAACGAUAAUGAUCCUUCCGCAGGUUCACCUACGGAAA
This 218-nucleotide unclassified non-coding RNA is filed under the name uncultured fungus. Its description in RNAcentral is "sequence contains ITS1". The record is from RNAcentral. Lineage: Eukaryota; Fungi.